GACAGCAGUCGCCGCGGUAAUACGAAGGGUGCAAGCGUUACCCGGAAUUACUGGGCGUAAAGCGUGCGUAGGUGGUGGUUUAAGUCCGUUGUGAAAGCCCUGGGCUCAACCUGGGAAUUGCAGUGGAUACUGGAUCACUAGAGUGUGGUAGAGGAUAGUGGAAUUUCCGGUGUAGCAGUGAAAUGCGUAGAGAUCGGAAGGAACAUCUGUGGCGAAGGCGACUAUCUGGGCCAACACUGACACUGAGGCACGAAAGCGUGGGGAGCAAACAGGAUUAGAUACCCGGGUAGUCCCUGUCUCUUAUAC
Molecule: ribosomal RNA, 306 nt
Filed under: uncultured bacterium
Lineage: Bacteria
Description: partial 16S ribosomal RNA
Rfam family: Bacterial small subunit ribosomal RNA
Source: RNAcentral